GAUGAAGAACGCAGCGAAAUGCGAUAAGUAGUGUGAAUUGCAGAUUUCAGUGAAUCAUCGAAUCUUUGAACGCACAUUGCGCCCCCUGGUAUUCCGGGGGGCAUGCCUGUUCGAGCGUCAUUACAACCCUCAAGCUCUGCUUGGUAUUGGGCCCCGCCGACCCGGCGAGCCCUAAAAUCAGUGGCGGUGCCGUCUGGUUCCGAGCGUAGUAAUUCUUCUCGCUUUGGAGGCCGGGCGUGUGCUUGCCAGCAACCCCCAAUUUUUUUCAGGUUGACCUCGGAUCAGGUAGGGAUACCCGCUGAACUUAAGCAUAUCAAUAAGCGGAGGA
RNAcentral lists this unclassified non-coding RNA (328 nucleotides) under soil metagenome. Its description in RNAcentral is "partial contains 5.8S ribosomal RNA, internal transcribed spacer 2, and large subunit ribosomal RNA". The stretch from base 1 to 120 matches the Rfam family "5.8S ribosomal RNA", at positions 35 to 154 of the family's 154-position model. The record is from RNAcentral.